CGUCUGAAAAACGUAAAAUAAACAGAACCGUAAAUGUUCUUUUUGUAUAUAAAAAAAAAACUUUGUAGGUGGCUACUACUGGAAUCUUCAAAAUUAUGCACCGACUAAGUUACAUAUUUUUAUUAGAGCCUGGCUAUACUUUAAUUUUUAUUCAUCCCUAGAUCUAGCUUAGUUAUUAAAUGUUGCAGGUCUUAUGGUCUUGUCUAAGGUGCUGCUGCUAUUAUAUUUUAGAGUCACACAGAUUUAGUUAUGUUUUCUAAAUAUUAUAUCAUAGUCACACAGAUACUGCACUGUAGACACACAGAUUUAGUUAUGUUUUCUAAAUAUUAUAUCAUAGUCACACAGAUACUGCACUGUAAACACACAGAUUUAGUUAUGUUUUCUAAAUAUUAUAUCAUAGUCACACAGAUUUUUUUUAUUUUUAUUUUUAGUCACACAGAUACUGCACUGUAGACACACAGAUAUCGUUAACACACAGAUACCGAAGACACACAGAUCACGAUGUCACACAGUUAUCGUCGACACACAGUUAUCAUCGUCACACAGUUAUCAUCGUCACACAGUUAUUGUAGACACACAGAUAUUGUAGACACAGAUAUUGUAGACACACAGAUAUUGUAUUUUAUUCACAUAGAUGUUAUAUUUUAUACACGUGGAUUGUUCUCGUUUUAUUACUUUAUAUUUUAUUUUAAAGUUGCAUUCUAUUUAUUAUUUCUUUCAGAUUAAUUUGUUCGUCUGAUAUUUGUAUUUUUUUAAGCAGUAUGUAAGAGUUCACUAGAUAUUUAGAUUGAAAAGUAAGUUUUCAGUUUAUCAACAAUUGCUUACAUUGUAUUAAAAGGUUUUUAUUUGUAACUGUAAAAUAAUAACACUGUUUUUAUUAACACGAAUUAUUGAACUGCAAUCUAUUGAGUAUUUACUCUUAUCUCUCCAAUGAGAUUAUCUCGGUAACUCAACUUUGCUGUCAGUAGCGGAGGAGCUAUCGGAGACAGAUGAUUUAUGUGGCCGCAAACAAUAAUUUUAUACUAUAUAUCGGUUACGUCACUACAAAAGCACUGUAAAAGAGAACCGAAUAAUAGGCUACAACACUGAGCGCACACAUGCACAAUAUUGUCUUUAAUUCCAUUAUAUAUUUACGAAUAUAUCGUUUUUACACUUCCUGAACACACAACUAGUCAUUGUAGACGAUAUUUAGGUAUUAUUUCUUUAAAUAACGUUCGUUGUUGACCACAACUAACAUUGAGUUGACUAUAAAUUUCCUCUUUUGAGCGCCUCAUUUUUCAUGUGCUAGUAACACAUCUAACAGUAUUUAAUAUCAUUGGUCGCAAAAGCAUCUCUAGGAACGAUGGCAUUACAUUUUUUUUAAAACCAUUGAUGAUUUCUACACAGCUAAUAUUUUGGUUUUAGGACAGGUUUAGCAAACAUAAACUUUGUAAAGGAAUCUAUGACCACAAAUAUAAUGUAAGUAAAAUCAGUACGAGUUUUGAUAAAAGGCUCCAAAUGAUCGGCAUGGACAGUGUGUAUACGGAUUUGUAGUUUUUCUAUAGGGUGUAACGCGCUUUCUAGCUUACCAUAAUUACCCUUUGCAUAGGAGCAUUGCAGACAUGCAUUGAUGUACUUAUGAAUUUUGUCAUACAUAAAAGCCAAAAUUGGUGUUUUUGUAAUAAACUCAUACACACAACAUAAAAUAAGAUUCUUUACCCAAAUCGAAAAUGAUAGACCGUGUUAUAGGUAUACUUUUUUGCUUAUGCACAAAUUAAACAAGUAUAACCUGGCUGUAGUUCCAAAUCAUUACUUAGGAACCUUCCCUAUGAAAUCAUUUGAAUAACGCUAGGUAUUUAUUAAAUCGUGGGUAGACUAUUUUGGAAUUAGUAACUAAUGUCACAGUGUAACCAGUAGUUGGACUUCAUACUAAAGGUCGAAACGCGAGCUAAACCUACGCACCUCGUACGUGGGAUGAUCGUGGGGUGAAGAUCGUUGCGACUGUGCCGCGGUGACGAACGCAGUGUAUUGGAUUUUUUAAUUAUGACGACUAGGAAAAAAGUUAUUAUUUUUAUAAAGUUUGAUUAAUACUUUGUAUUCUAAAGGCAUAAUUUUAAAAAAUAUAUAUA
Bicyclus anynana (squinting bush brown) is the source of this 2108-nucleotide long non-coding RNA. RefSeq lists it as uncharacterized. Lineage: Eukaryota; Metazoa; Arthropoda; Insecta; Lepidoptera; Nymphalidae. The record is from RefSeq and is a predicted model, not a curated record. The transcript is spliced from 2 exons.